RNAcentral lists this transfer RNA (72 nucleotides) under Camelus bactrianus (Bactrian camel). It matches the Rfam family "tRNA". From Rfam's summary of the family: Transfer RNA (tRNA) molecules are approximately 80 nucleotides in length. Their secondary structure includes four short double-helical elements and three loops (D, anti-codon, and T loops). The record is from Rfam by way of RNAcentral. RNAcentral also lists the same sequence under 2 other names. Lineage: Eukaryota; Metazoa; Chordata; Mammalia; Artiodactyla; Camelidae.
AAGGGUACAGCUUGGUGGUAGGGUGAGUGCUUAGCAUGCAUGAGGUCCUGGGUUCAAUCCCCAGUACCUCUG